RNAcentral lists this long non-coding RNA (294 nucleotides) under Elaeis guineensis (African oil palm). RNAcentral describes it as "long non-coding RNA (EGUI_LNC031456)". Lineage: Eukaryota; Viridiplantae; Streptophyta; Magnoliopsida; Arecales; Arecaceae. The record is from RNAcentral.
AUGACAGUGAACUUGAUGGCUCUGAUGAUGAUGGCUCUAACCCUCAACAAUCAAAGCAAGGUCAUGUUCAAUAAAAGCAGCGGGUCUAGUGGAAGAAAAAAAAGAGAAAGAAAGAAAUAUGAAGUUUGAUCCACUGUAAAAUCUGAUAGCUAAUGGUUCAAUCUAGCCAUCAAAAAUUUUAUGUAGUUCUGAAAAAAAAAAUGAAGAAGAAUGAGAGAUUGAUGCCUCAACUCUAAUGAUCAAUUGAGGGUGGCUCAUCCAAAAUGCUUGACAGAACAACCUAAUAAAUCCCAC